UACGUAGGGGGCACGCGUUGUCCGGAAUCAUUGGGCGUAAAGAGCGCGUAGGCGGCCCUGUAAGUCCGCUGUGAAAGUCAAGGGCUCAACCCUUGGAUGCCGGUGGAUACUGCAGGGCUAGAGUCCGGAAGAGGCGAGUGGAAUUCCUGGUGUGGCGGUGAAAUGCGCAGAUAUCAGGAGGAACACCGAUGGCGAAGGCAGCUCGCUGGGACGGUACUGACGCUGAGGCGCGAAAGCGUGGGGAGCAAACAGG
This 253-nucleotide ribosomal RNA is filed under the name uncultured bacterium. RNAcentral's name for it is "partial 16S ribosomal RNA". It matches the Rfam family "Bacterial small subunit ribosomal RNA", at positions 524 to 776 of the family's 1533-position model. The record is from RNAcentral.